UGCUGAAGAAAAGAAAUUAUCUGCAAACAAAGAGGUUUAAGUGAAAAUUGAAACAUGAUACUUUUCAAAAUGGCAAAUCAGAAACAAGCAAGAGAACAAAAUGUUAGAUUCACAAUAUUUCAGGACCUAUAAGCACCCUCAAACGCCUUUUGCCUAACGUAAUUCUCGGUUUGUAAUACUAGUAAAGAUAAAACUGCUAUCUGCAAGCCUGACACUUUUCAUGAGUUUGGCCUGAUUUAUAAGUUCUUGAUCCGGGUUAUAUUCUUCAGCCAAAUAAUCUACUAUUGACCUGCUGGGCCCAUCCAUUCUAAAUAAAAGCUCACCUGCUCUGCUGUGAUCCCAUUUUCAAAAGCAUUAUACAAG
RNAcentral lists this unclassified non-coding RNA (363 nucleotides) under Hevea brasiliensis (rubber tree). The record is from RNAcentral. Lineage: Eukaryota; Viridiplantae; Streptophyta; Magnoliopsida; Malpighiales; Euphorbiaceae.